UGGAAAUACGAAACGGGAGCAGGACAGCACUCCCCUUGGUUAGGAUGGAAGAAGUCCUAACAGACUUUUAACCACGUUUAAGACUGUCACUUACUUUGUGGCAUCUAAUUUAUGU
Molecule: non-coding RNA, 115 nt
Organism: Fulmarus glacialis (Northern fulmar)
Lineage: Eukaryota; Metazoa; Chordata; Aves; Procellariiformes; Procellariidae
Source: Rfam